AUUGAACGCUGGCGGCAGGCCUAACACAUGCAAGUCGAACGGCAGCACAGUAAUAGCUCGCGGAUACAGGGGGGGACGGGCGAACAAUGCCUGGAAAUCUCGCUGGCUACGUGGGCGAACGGGCGGACACAGGGGAACAUACGCCAAACGUGCAGAGGACGUACGGGGGGAAGCAUCGGAUCUUCCGCUCUCGGACGAGCCUAGGUCGGAUUAGCUAGUUGGCGGGGUAAAGGCCUACCAAGGCGACGAUCCGUAGCUGGUCUGAGAGGAUGAUCGGUCACACUGGAACUGAGACACGGUCCAGACUCCUACGGGAGGCAGCAGUGGGGAAUAUUGGACAAUGGGCGCAAGCCUGAUCCAGCCAUGCCGCGUGUGUGAAGAAGGUCUUCGGGUUGUAAAGCCCUUUAGUUUGGAAGGAAGAGCAGUAGGUUAAUACCUCGCUGUUUUGACGGUACCAACAGAAUAAGCACCGGCUAACUUCGUG
Molecule: ribosomal RNA, 484 nt
Filed under: uncultured bacterium
Lineage: Bacteria
Description: partial 16S ribosomal RNA
Rfam family: Bacterial small subunit ribosomal RNA
Source: RNAcentral